Molecule: long non-coding RNA, 588 nt
Filed under: Capsicum annuum
Lineage: Eukaryota; Viridiplantae; Streptophyta; Magnoliopsida; Solanales; Solanaceae
Description: long non-coding RNA (CANN_LNC016389)
Source: RNAcentral
AUCUGUCGAUGCAGAAGGCGGCGGCGCCGCCGUCGUCUGUGGAGGCAGUGCCGGUGGUGCAACAGGCGUCGACUGUGAUGAAGUGGAGGUGGAUGAUGGGUCUGAUGUUAUCAGAUCCAUUAGUGUCGUCCCCGAAUUAUCCUGCGAAGAUGAAAAUUUAGAGCACAUAACAAAAAUUGAGGUGAAUUUGUCAGUAUUUUUUUUCUUAUAUUUGAUGAAAUGAGGAAUCGAAGAUCAAUAAGAAACUUACGGCCAUGACUGGAGCGGAGAUACCAAAAUUAUGAACUGCAAAUUGUUGUUGAGAGAAAACUCUCUAAAUUCUUUCUUUCCUCCUCCUUGUAAAUUGUAAUGGACAUAAAUGAAUUACUCACUUAAAAAAAUAUUUUCUUCGAUCUUAUUAUUAGAGGAGAGAGAGACAAAUGGAGCUUCUACAUAGAUUUUGUAUAAAUAGCAAGUAUAUUUUAGUUUUACACAUUUCGGCCAUUAUUGACUUAAUAAAUUUGGCUUCUUUGGGGAAAUUAUUUUACUUCUAAAAAUUAUUGCUUGGCCAUACAAACACAAAUACAAUUUAAAGUUGUACUAUUAUUU